Molecule: long non-coding RNA, 1371 nt
Organism: Pangasianodon hypophthalmus (striped catfish)
Lineage: Eukaryota; Metazoa; Chordata; Actinopteri; Siluriformes; Pangasiidae
Exons: 3
Source: RefSeq, a predicted model, not a curated record
GCUGAUUGUCAGGUUUCAGCACUAAGGACAGUCAGAAACGUGAGAAACACGUGCACCCGAGGCGAGUCUGCUGAUUACGCUGAUCCCUCACGGCAGCGGGAGUGAAGAGGGAAAUAAAAACCCCUGAGGAGCAGACGCAGUGGUCGAGAGCUCUCCAGUUACAGUUAAGGCUCUCGCUGAGCCGAAGCUCUUCUCUCUUUCCAGAGGAGUGAUUAGACACGGAUGCCUCAGGACCACCGAUCCCACAGAGACCCAGAACGACGCGGAACUCUGGACACCUAGAGCCUUCUCCACACUCCUCACUUUCACACUCGGUUUCAUGACAUUCUUUAUCACUCUGGGGUUUAUACUUAACUGCAAUCUGGGUUCUUUAUGUUCUUCACAGUUCUCUGCCUCCUAGAACUGCUAAAGUUCCUUCCAGAGGAACAAGUGAAGAGUUCUGAAUGUGUAGAUUAGUCUCAGCCUAGACAUAUCAUUUCUACACUUUUCUGGCCACAAGCUUCAGGAUUUUGAAGGCUGAAAUCUGAUUGGCUCUCCACACUUCCUCCUCAUAAACAAACAUUUUUGUAUGCCAUGGCAAACUGAGCGUUUCAGAGACGUCUGAAAGUGUUAGUGUUAAUUUACAGUUAUUUAUUGAUGAAAAGUAACAGAGUCUGAUUGAUUCAUUUUCUAUAACAGCAGCUGCAAAUCACAGGUUUAUAUUAAUGCGCUCGUUCUAGUGUAUUAUCGUUUCUAUAGUAACAUCUCAUUCACAGGGGCUCGUACGGCAAAAUAAUGGAUUUAAAAAACCUCUGAUGUGGAGUUCAUUCAGUUUUCUUUCUGUAAGGUGAUGUUUAUGUAACAUUGAUGGAAGGAGUCUCCAGUGUCAGUGCUUUGUAACAGUCAGAGGUAAAGCUGUAACUUUAAGUUUUCCAACGUCUUCAGGAAAGAGGAGUUUACGCUGCUAUAACUGUUGCUGUGAAAUCAUCCAGAGAGCUCUUCAAUCACAGGCUAAAAAUGAAAGCGGAGAAAUGAAAUGAGACAGACAGUGGUUGAGUGUGUGCCCGAGCGAUGUCAAACACAUCUCAAGACGUUCGAGAUUCACCCUGGGGAAAAAAGGACACAGAUCAGGAGCGACCAAUCGGCUCGGUUUAUCACAUCCAGCGCCACCAAUAACGUCCUUCAUGCGCUUAUGAUGGAAUAAUUUCUGCUCACUUUCAUCCUGCAUGUUUAUAUUGAAGAAAGGCCAGGGUAAAAUGAGGAAGAAGAGGGCAAGACGGGGGCAAGACGAGGGCAAGACGGGGGCAAGACGAGGGCAAGACGAGAGCCACUAUUUUAUAUCCACGUAUUUGGGUCACUAUUUGCAAAAAUGAGGUGAAAUGAUAGUAGAAG